AUGGGAAUCGAACCCACAGAGUUCCGCUUACCGGGCAGAUGCCAUGUCCACUAGGCU
Molecule: transfer RNA, 57 nt
Filed under: Cordylochernes scorpioides
Lineage: Eukaryota; Metazoa; Arthropoda; Arachnida; Pseudoscorpiones; Chernetidae
Description: tRNA-Thr
Source: RNAcentral